RNAcentral lists this ribosomal RNA (418 nucleotides) under uncultured bacterium. RNAcentral's name for it is "bacterial SSU rRNA". It matches the Rfam family "Bacterial small subunit ribosomal RNA", at positions 361 to 776 of the family's 1533-position model. The record is from RNAcentral.
AUAUUGGUCAAUGGGCGCAAGCCUGAACCAGCCAUGCCGCGUGCAGGAAGAAGGUGCUAUGCAUUGUAAACUGCUUUUAUACGGGGGUAAUUACAGAUACGUGUAUCUGGAUGAAAGUACCGUAUGAAUAAGGAUCGGCUAACUCCGUGCCAGCAGCCGCGGUAAUACGGAGGAUCCGAGCGUUACCCGGAUUUAUUGGGUUUAAAGGGUGCGUAGGCGGUCAGGUAAGUUAGAGGUGAAAGCUCGAUGCUCAACAUCGAAACUGUCUCUGAUACUGUCUGACUAGAGUGUAGUUGCGGAAGGCGGAAUGUGUGGUGUAGCGGUGAAAUGCUUAGAUAUCACACAGAACACCGAUUGCGAAGGCAGCUUUCCAAGCUAUUACUGACGCUGAGGCACGAAAGCGUGGGGAGCGAACAGG